This 1384-nucleotide long non-coding RNA is filed under the name Coturnix japonica (Japanese quail). Its description in RNAcentral is "lncRNA (ENSCJPG00005004906.1)". The record is from RNAcentral. Lineage: Eukaryota; Metazoa; Chordata; Aves; Galliformes; Phasianidae.
CAGUAAGUUAAAAUUAACACAGGUGCUUACAAUGCUCUUCCAUCAGCACAAAGUUCUUGAUUUAGAAGGCCUUGAGGUAGACAGUUAAUUACUUGCUGAAUCAGGUUGAGAAUGCUUAUACAAAAGCCCUUGCUAAUUCAGAGGAAGAGAAGUUCAAGGCAAAUAUGUUUCAAGUUUUGGAAUGUGUAUGGAACUUGGGACAAAAUGAACAGAGUAAUUUCUGCAUCAGUGGGAGGCACCACUUUUCCGUCCUGUGGCCCACAGGUUGCCUGUGGGUUUUAAAAACAUGCACAUACUGAUCCUCCAUCCUUAAUUCUCCCAAAGGAAGACUAUUUGUGGGAGGACAGAGUCAGAAUCUUACCUGUGAGGCAGGCAGGUGUGGAUUUAUGAGAUGUAGAGAGCCACUCAUCAUCACCAAUCUGCAGCUCUUUCUAGACUGCAGGUUUUGGAGGGAAGGGGGAGCUAGGAGACUGAAAAACCUUUCCACAGAUAUUGCUGUAGUUUCCAAUACUUGUUUCCAGUACAGGUUGCUGGCUCCUGGUGGGAAUCAUUUAUGACCAGUUAAGUUCCAGAAUGUCCAGUUGCCCCUCUAAAUGGAGCAGCUUGGCCUUUCCUGGGGGACCAAGGCACUUCUCCAGAAGGACUGCAGCCCGUGAACCUGGACUUCAAACAACAAAUGUGCCGAGCUCACAUGAACUUGAAGUUGCCCUUUUCUUUGUGACAUCCAUAAACAUUUAUGAAGCUUUGUUUUUAUCCCAGUAAAUCUAUGUUGUUACUUUGGGUCUUUUAAUAGUGUCUAUUUAUAUCGUGAAAUCAUGACAACUGCGUUGUCUUCCUGUAAAGCCACAGGUCAAGGGUCUGCUAAGCAAAUACUAACACAUGUGAGUAACUUCCCUCAUAUGAAUAAUCAGACUGAUCUUAACAGAAUGGUUUUUUUAGGAUUUGGUUCCCAAUAUUUUGACAUAGUUCCUGAAAUGUUUUGUAGAUAGGAGCUGUUGACUUUCAUAUUGUAAAAAAAUAAUUUGAACACCAACAAGCCCCUUCCAAAAGAAGGAAACAUAUUUGGGUUAUCAGGUUUUAACAACUACAGUUUCACUUGUUAGCUUUCAUUUCCUAGGUACAAGAAGUGUUGAAAGAACAUUUAACUCAGAAGAGAUCAACUAGAAUUACUAUCAAAGAUUUGUGUAAGUUAGCAUGUAUAAUGUUUCCCCUGGUUGUAUGCAAAAACAUUUGGAGAUCUCUGGGUUGUUUGGGUUUUUUUUUUUUGGUUUUUUUUUUUUUUUGUUUUUUGUUUUUUUGCCUCUGUUUUCUAGGAAAAAAAAUGAUGGAAUUAAUUACUACAACUAGGAUGUAUUAUAUUUUAUAAUUUAUAUCAUGUAGCAUU